Molecule: long non-coding RNA, 581 nt
Filed under: Ananas comosus (pineapple)
Lineage: Eukaryota; Viridiplantae; Streptophyta; Magnoliopsida; Poales; Bromeliaceae
Description: long non-coding RNA (ACOM_LNC009725)
Source: RNAcentral
UAAGUUACAACUUGGUAAGACCCGAUGAAAAACACUAUUAUAGGUUCUAUUUUGAUAUUGGAAUAAGUAUUCUGUGACAUCUUAUUCGAUGUAGGAUUUUCGUUUGUGAUCGAAAGUUAGAAGUUUAAUUUCUUUCUUAAAAAAAAAAUCUUGGCAUUUAUGAUUGGGUAGAAUAACAUAAUUUCCCUACGAGCGGAAUCCUAUUUCUAGAAAAUAACUUGAAGAUAAAUUAUGAUAUUCCGACUCAGACAUUUAAUCACACUUUUCAUCUAUGAAAAAUUACAGGCUAGCUUUUUAAAUAAAUUAAAAAUCUAUGACAAAUUAAAUAUUCAUGCAUCACAACAUGACUAAUCUUUUUUUGAUUUACUCAAGAAACUUGCAAUAUUUGGUAGAUAAAAUGUGUGAUCAAAUAUUUAAAAUAAAAUAGCGUAUUUGACUAUCAAAUUAUUUUUUCAGAAUAUGAUAAAUAAUACUCUUUUAACACAGUUUGUCGAAAUCUACAACAAGAUAAGCUUUACAGUCACCCUUUCACAAAUUACACGUAUAUAAUUUGUGUAUAUCUUUUAAAAUGAAAAAAAAAA